RNAcentral lists this ribosomal RNA (429 nucleotides) under Campylobacter gracilis. RNAcentral describes it as "bacterial SSU rRNA". It matches the Rfam family "Bacterial small subunit ribosomal RNA", at positions 29 to 456 of the family's 1533-position model. Lineage: Bacteria; Pseudomonadati; Campylobacterota; Epsilonproteobacteria; Campylobacterales; Campylobacteraceae. The record is from RNAcentral.
AGUGAACGCUGGCGGCGUGCCUAAUACAUGCAAGUCGAACGGAAUUUAAAAGAGCUUGCUCUUUUAAAUUUAGUGGCGCACGGGUGAGUAAUAUAUAGCUAAUCUGCCCCUUGCUGGAGGACAACAGUUAGAAAUGACUGCUAAUACUCCAUACUCCUUUUUACCAUAAGAUAAAUCGGGAAAGAAUUUCGGCAAGGGAUGAGACUAUAUCGUAUCAGCUAGUCGGUGGGGUAACGGCCUACCGAGGCUAUGACGCGUAACUGGUCUGAGAGGAUGAUCAGUCACAUUGGAACUGAGACACGGUCCAAACUCCUACGGGAGGCAGCAGUAGGGAAUAUUGCGCAAUGGGGGAACCCUGACGCAGCAACGCCGCGUGGAGGAUGACACUUUUCGGAGCGUAAACUCCUUUUGUUAGGGAAGAAAUAAGAC